AGUUGGAAAACCUAGCUCAAUUCUCAUACAGUCAUCCAUCAAAUGUUAUACACGCACACCCAAAAAAAAAAAAUUACAUAAGUAGCUGUGGAGUAUUUAAAGAGUAACAUGAAAUAAGUUACAAACCAAUAACAACAAAAAAAUGCGAGGAAAAUAAGUAGGUAAACGUUUAACAAUAAAGAUUGCUUUUCUUGUCUCCUGAGAAAAAUAAACAAACAAAAAUAAGUAAGUAUUCACCUAAGAGAGUUAAGAGAGUUUAGAUAUCAAAUAUAAUUAUUAUUUCUAUAACUACUAAGGACUAAUGCAGUCAUAAUAUGAAAUGCACGCCAAGUAAAAAUGUGAACAAAACACCGAAUAAUCGCACAAAAAGUUAACUUAGAGUUAAACAUGCAUCCUGUCAUAUCUAUCUCAUAUACAUAUAUGGGAGAAGAUCUCCUAACUUAGCCACUUAGUCUAUAAACCUUACUGGAGAGUGGACGCUACAAUCAUGAUCUCUUAAAAUCUAAAAUUGAUUGGAGAGUAGUAGCUACCAUUAACAGCCCAUGCAAUGGACACAUGUGAAUGUAUGGGCAUACCAAGAUAUUAAAUAAUAUUGAAUUUGUAAAAAUAUAGAAUAU
RNAcentral lists this unclassified non-coding RNA (617 nucleotides) under Hevea brasiliensis (rubber tree). Lineage: Eukaryota; Viridiplantae; Streptophyta; Magnoliopsida; Malpighiales; Euphorbiaceae. The record is from RNAcentral.